GAUGAACGCUGGCGGCGUGCCUAACACAUGCAAGUCGAACGGACAUUUUUUGGAAAGCUCUUCGGAACUGGAAUCUAAAUGUUAGUGGCGGACGGGUGAGUAACGCGUGAGCAAUCUGCCUUUCAGAGGGGGAUAACAGCCGGAAACGGCUGCUAAUACCGCAUAAUGCAACGGAAUCGCAUGACUCUGUUGCCAAAGAUUUAUCGCUCUGAGAUGGCCUCGCGUCUGAUUAGCUAGUUGGCGGGGUAACGGCCCACCAAGGCGACGAUCAGUAGCCGGACUGAGAGGUUGGCCGGCCACAUUGGGACUGAGACACGGCCCAG
RNAcentral lists this ribosomal RNA (323 nucleotides) under uncultured bacterium. RNAcentral's name for it is "bacterial SSU rRNA". It matches the Rfam family "Bacterial small subunit ribosomal RNA", at positions 28 to 334 of the family's 1533-position model. The record is from RNAcentral.